UUUUUUUACUCCAAAUUUUGACAUUUAGGUACUUUUUCGGGCCUUUUCGUUCCGUGCUACAUUACGGGACCAAAAUUGUAUGUGCGGACGUUGUUUUUGCAUUUAUUUCAUGUAUCCAGCCUCGUUAAGACUAGAUUGGGUAUCCCUACGUAGCGGGUGGGACCCACGGCGAAUGGUUCCUAAAGUCGCCAAAAAAGUAUUA
RNAcentral lists this small RNA (202 nucleotides) under Arabidopsis thaliana (thale cress). Its description in RNAcentral is "ATSL043760". The record is from RNAcentral. Lineage: Eukaryota; Viridiplantae; Streptophyta; Magnoliopsida; Brassicales; Brassicaceae.